CCGAAAUCCUAUCAUUCCUCAUGGUCUACAGUUCAGGAAGCUUCGGGAACAUGUGGCACCUCUACAAUGGAAACAGAUCAGUCAGCAUCAGCAUCUUCAGAUGCGUUCCUGGAACCCUGCUGUCUGAAAGUUAACCCUGUGAAGGGCCCUCAAGCAGACCCUCUGCAGAAGUCUUGUGGUGUCCCUGCAGCCUGUUCAUCCGCCUUCCGUCGGCCUCGGGAUCUCCUGGAGGGAAAACUAGCUCCAAGCAGGAAAGAAGAAGGGAGAACUCUGAAGGGCAUGACAGCGACCCAGCUUACAGUCCAGACAAUAUUUGAAGGAGAGCCACGUCUUAUCAUUUGAAUUCUCCGUGGAGCCUUCCAAGUGCCAAAACACUGAGGACAGGACUGCGCCUUGGUAACUGUGUGUCACUAUGGACUCUGUGGUACAGGGAGAUGGCUCUGGCCAUUUGCCUUUGAAGGUGAAGUUCUCCUUUUCCAGAUGGUUUUCACACAGGGCGGUAGGGGAUUUCUUAUUGUUUCCUCUUCCACCCUAUCCCCGACCCUCGUCACCAGGCAGCCCCGCCAUAUUAGCUCAGAAGAUCCAUAAAGGGGCAAGAGCCCCUGUUCCCUCCCCUCUGCUCGCAGGGGUUAUUAGUUCAAUAGAGUCGAGCUAGGACAUAGGGGUGACCUUGGGAAGGGGCACUUGGUGACUAAGCAAGAAUGGGCACCGGAGUUUCUACUCACCACACCCAGCUUGCAGGGGAGGCUGGCUCACAAACCACCCUCAGGGUGACCUUGGAGGUCUGCAGACUCAGUUCUCAUGGCGUCUAGACCCAUACCUGUCAAGGAAACAGUAACUUCCAAACUUAAUGGACGGUUUAUGGAGGUAACAUAUAGACAUGAAGGAGAACACUGAGCUGUCCCCCAAGGGGGAACCCCAGGCAAAGGUCCCAUCCCUUCCUUUCUGCAUACAGCUGAGUUCUGGGUCCCACCAAGGACAGAACUCCCCUUCCUUGUUGGCUAUGAAAAUUUCUUAUCUCUUGUAUAAAGGGAGGGGUGAUGGCAAAUGUCUCUAAAUCCUAAGUUCCCCUAUGACCACAGUCCCCUUCCAACCUUCUUCUAAAGCACGUCUGUUAAGGGAUGGAGAUGUCGCUCAAUUGGUAAGGUGCUUGCCUAGCAUGCACGGAGAGCCCAGGGUUCCCUUCUGCGAUGCUUCAGAAAAACAGGUGUGGUGGUGCAUCCUUGUAAUCCCAGGACUUGGGAAACACGUGGGCAGGCCACAUCUGAGUCCGUGGUAGCCAGUGUGUCCACUCUGGCCCUGGAAAUGUGGUGCUAGAAUUAUAAUAUGUGCUGAAUUUCUGUAGAAGUGUCCCGAGUUGCACCUAUAAUGACUGUCCCAAGCCACAUUCAACAAGAGAUGGCACAAACGGGUAGAAGAGACAGAAGUUGAGAAAGUGCAGGCUCUUGAAGAACCAAAGACCUAGGAUGAAAAGUAAUCCUACAUCCAUUGUAAAGGGGGCGCUAGGCCUCUAGGAGCCCACUCAAGACAUUAAUAUAGAAAGGUAUAAAGACACCCCCUUGCUGAUCUUGGCAGCACGCACCUGUAAUCCUAGCACUUAGGAGAUAGAGGUGAGGCAGGGCACUCAAGAGUUCAAAGUCAUCCUUGGCUACAAAGUGCGUUUGAGGCUAGCCUGGACAACAUACUUGAUAUCCUUUCUCAAAACAACCAAAAAAAAAAAAAAAAAACCCUGUUUAAACCCCAUGCUGUGUUUCUCACUGCCCUACUCCCUACUUCUGAGGUUACCAGCAGGGCUCCCGGCUGUUCCUUUGAGCCAGCUGUGUCUUCAUUGAGGUCCCUGACUGUCCUUCUGUCAUCCCCGUCUGUCUGAGAGACUCUCCUACCUGAUUUGGAAGUGCUUUCAGUAACUUGUGGGUCCCAGGCAGUGCUCUCAUUGAAUCUUCUCAACAAGCUUUGGAAUAAGUCUUUUGUGGGCCUCCUGUUACAACUGAGGGGAAUAGAUGUGGAGAGAGAACGUUGCUCAGCAACUUCUGAGUCGAGGAACGAGAACUAAACCAUCUCUGGAACCGUGACGUCAGAAGUCCUGGUGUUGGGUUGCGGAAGUUUCACUUCCAUUUGCUGGGAUAAAGCAGCCCCCUUGCUGGACUCUGUGGCCUUUUGGAAAUGGUACUGCUUCCACAAUCUCUUCUUCAGCUUGCCCAAACCUAUCUAAUGCUUUACAGGAACAUAUGUGCCCAUGAGAGACGUGAGCUUCCUACCAGCAGACACUAGCAUAUCUGCUGUGGGAAUUGAGGAGAUUCUUGAGUUGGGGUAGGUUCAAGAGCCUCUGGUUAUACCAUCAACUCUGCAAGUCGGGGAUUGUUAUGGUUUAUUUCUGCUCCACUACGUCUGGGACCUCCACUAGACUGGCUGGAAACAGUGGACAUGGUCCGAAUAGGGCUUUAUGUCUGGAGCCUUCGUUCUGUCUGCCAGCUGGGUUCCUCUUCUCCCUGUGAUGUCAUCUGGGGCUCAGAUGUCUGAAGUGGCUCUGGCACGCAGGUCCCUAGUACCUCUACCUUCUUUUAUGUGUCCACUCUCUUCAGAAGAGUAGCUUCAUCCUACACUGUCUGGGCUGUCAGAGCACACACUAUCUAUAUCCUUUUCCACUGCAAUCCGCUUUGCCUAGUCUACUUCUAGCCAGUGCUACCUAGACGGCAGUGCCAUAUACUGCACGAUUCGGCUUCUGUGUGUGCAUACUGUUCUCUGAACCUGAAUCUAAUACAGACUGGCCAGACUCAAAAAUGGAAGGAAAUCCAAUCAGGCCAGUUAGUUUCUCCUCCUGCCACCCUACCCCACUUGAACUCUGAACCUAAGUCAGACCGACUGAGAGUAUGUAACAUGGUGAGUAGUAGGGCUUUGAUGGUCUAAUGUUCUGACCAAAAUCACAGUGAAGGAGAAAGCUAGUGAGAAAGUUAUGAUACGGAGAAAAUCCACUUACUGUGGAAGAAGAGAAAGUAAACCUUUCUUUGGAACAUAGGAAAAGAAGAGACUGCUUAGAGUAAGGUCAUGCUCCUGAGCUACCCUCCGGCCCUGGAGCUGUAGCCAGCCCGUCUUCACAGCGAUGCCGUGUGGAUCACUGUACCAAGCUUGUGUUUUUUGCUUUUGCUGUUGAUUGACGUAGUCGUGGUCAUGUGAUUCAAUUCUGCUAAUACACUUAUGGACAGAUGUUUGGGGUCACCUUGAGUCCAUGAGGCAACAAGACCAAGAGGAGAGAGACAGCCAGCUGGGGAUGACAGGACAGGCGAUGAGCAAAAGGGGCCUGGGGCCCCCAGUGGCAUCAUUGAGUCACAGUGCCUACCCUGGAACCGUCUCCUUCCAGCCUGACUGCUGUAGGAGCCUACUGUCUCCUGGGUCCCAUCCUUCUCUUGAGGCCUGAAACAUUUCUAAGCUCUUCAUAAAAUGUCCCUGCCUUCACUGCUACGCUGUGGGUGCUGUAGGUCUUUCUUAUGGCUCUAAAUGAAGAAAAUACCCAGGUUGCUUUUCUUCCUAAGUGCUAGCGACAGGAAUCCUGCUGAGAUGGUAGGAAAUGGACAGGAGGAACAACAAAGAGGCAGGUUCAUCCCGGCCGAAAGGAUAACCCCAGUGAUUGGCCCCCAACGCUCCUCAGAGCCAGCGGACACAGACCCGGAAAGAGAAAUAAUUCUGGAAAUGUCCACAUGCCCAAGUCUUCUCAGACAGAGCUGAGGAAUAACUUUUAGAAAAAACAUUGCUGGGGGCAGGGGGGAAGUAUUAAUGCCUAAGAACCAGAGCCCGAAGAGUGAGUGAGAAGGCAGGUUAGGCAGGGCAUGGGUAAAUUCUUAGACAGUGACUAUGGCUGGCUGUUGGGGACAAUGAAUUGGAGCAAUUUGUUGCAGCAGGAGCCAGCAGGUGCAAAGGUGUCGCCCUCAGGAGACAGCCUUGGUGUUGUUUGAAAAUGGCCCUCUUGGGAGGAGGGCAGUGCUAAAUGGUACUUGCUGGCCUUCUCUGUGCUCCAUGGGCCGGCUUCCUUCCUUACCUCCCCUCCCCCCUACCCACGUUCCUUUCUCGCAGCACCUUGUGGGACGAGCUUGAGGCUGGGGACCGGACGGGAUGGGACUCAGUUGGCAGAGUGCUUGCCUAGCAGGCAUGAAGCCCUGGCUUAGAGUCCCAGCACCGCAUGAACUAGGUAUGGUGGAGCGCACUUGUAAUCAGUCCUACCCUUGGGAAGUGGGGGUCGGAAGUAAAUCCAAGAUCUUCAGAGAGGCUGAACUCAAGCCCUGGCUCUUCCUCUUGGAAACUCUUGUUUUCUAAAUUUAAAAAAAAAAAAAAAAAAAAAAAAGCCAGGCUUCUCCUGGUGCCCCAAGUGAGGCUGACGAAAGCUCAUUACACUCAGUAUAAGCAAACUAGAAAAAGCUGCCCUCCCUUCUGGUGUGUCUCAGGAUAACCAACCGCAGGACCCCACGACAGAUGUGCUAAGUCUGAGAAGCUGUGACACAGAUUCUGACGCCAGCCCUCAGUACAUCCCUGGUGCUCCCCACGUGGUGUGUGCAGCUCGGUCCCGAAUGCCAAGGCUGAUAGUUCACCGGCAAAGUGAGUCUCAGGUUGUAACGAGAGCGAGGGAGAGAGAUGUGACCCCAGAGAGAAACAAAAUAAUUCAUGGGGAUGAAAUCUGGGCUUGGGGGCAAAAAGGAAACGUUUAAAUCUGUACCUUGUGAAAGAAGAACACCCCACCCCCACUCCACCACCACCAAAUUGUGUAUGUAAGGUACUGUAGAUUGAACUCUGGACCUCACACGUUCUGGAAAGUGCUCUCCCACUGAGCCAUUCCCCAAGCCCCUCACUGGGGAAUUGUAGUCAGGCACUCUACUGCUGAGGAAUGUCCCCAGCUCUCCUUUGACUUGAUUUUUGAGACAAGGUCUUACUGGAUUGCCUAGGCUGGCCUGAAUCUCACUCUGUAGCCCAGGCUGGCCUUGGACUCAUAUUCUUCCUCCUGCUUAGGCUGCCGAGCCACUGAGAUCAUAGACUUGCCUCGUUAUACCAAGCUACUGCUAGUGCUAAUACCUUUAAACCACUCUUCCCUGAGCCCAGAAAGCUUCCCUAGAGAGAUCAUAACUUAGUAUUCUCUUAAAACCAAAGAAGAGAACAGCAGCUUUUCCCUGUUCCUCCACAUGAGGGCGCUACACCACUCAGCCAUGGGGUGAUGUGUUGAAGCCUCUCCCACAACAACCUUUACGGGUGCAUUUCUUUUCUGUGUGCUCUCUGAUGAGAAGCCCUGGGCCACCUCUGCAUGGUUUUUCUUGCCAGUUUCUCUUAUAGCUCUCUCUCGGAGCACACAGCCACAUUCAGCACCCCGCCCACUUGGGCAUUGCCAUGGCUGUUCCUUGUGACUGAUUUAGCGGCCAGAUGACUUAGCUGAUACCGGCUGCAGUGAAUGAGCUGAUACUGUCUGUAGGUUAGGAUUCUGACCAAAGGGUCUUCGAGGCACUAGAGAAAGGGUUUUAUUGACACACCUUCACAAGCGUAGGCUUUCCUCCAGUGUGAAUUCUCUGACGUUGAAUGAGUUUUGUGAUCCUGCAAGCCCUCACGCGGUCACUAUUGUUGGUAGAUUUCUGUUGCACGGGAAGUAGCCGGGUGUGUGGGACGCUGGCCGACGCCUCCCGCGCCCAAGCUGAAUGGUGCAGCAGUGUUAGGAGGUCGGGAGCCUCUAGGAAACUGCUUUGUAGUCACAACAGUCGAUGGUGCUCCUGCUGGUACAGUGCUGUAGUGUCAAAUAAACUUAAUCCGGACUCA
Long non-coding RNA from Grammomys surdaster, 5787 nucleotides. RefSeq lists it as uncharacterized. The record is from RefSeq and is a predicted model, not a curated record. NCBI's taxonomy places the organism in Eukaryota, Metazoa, Chordata, Mammalia, Rodentia, Muridae. The transcript has 3 exons.